UAAGAUCUGAAUUUGUUAGAGAGAGAGAGAGAGAGAAGAGAGAGAUAGAGCGCCUCACUCAAUCAUGGAGGAGGAGAUCUACCGAGUCUUCGUUAACUCUUCGAUGGCAAAUCCAAAGCCCUAAAUUUCACAUCACAAUCAAUACCAGUCCUCUCCAUCAAGAACCACAUUCGUGAAAUCACCAGCAUUCCAGUCGACGAUCAGAGACUCGUAACUGGCACAAAACAAGUCGAAGAUUCAUCAUCUCUCCUCAAACCCUACUCCUCCAAUGGGACUCACUGUUACCCUACGCUUCACCUCCUCCUCUGCCUCCGAGGCGCCGCCACAAAUCCGGCCAGAAGAAGACAAACAACUUCGACGCGUGUCAUGAACGCCGAGAAGAAGCUGGAGGAGUGGCGGAGGAGGCUGGAGAAGGUUGCGGAGGAUCGGAUGCGAAGAGAGUAAAGAUAUGGAUGGGGAAGAGAGAAGUGGGUGACAAUGAUAACGACGAUGUGGAUGAGGAUGAUAGUGAUGGUGAUGAAGAGGAGGAAAAUGAUGAAUCUGUUAUUUUAGACAAUGGGAAUGGGUCGGACUCAAAUAAGGAAGCAAAGUGUAGUUUGGGUUCUGUUACCAGUUGGAAUCGUGAUGGAGAAUCUUCUGGUGGAGUUUCUGCUGAGAGUGGUUCUGAGGGAGAGGAGACUGCCAUAAGAGGGAGUUCAUUUGUGGUUGAAAGUUCUGAUGCAGGGAUGGUUGGCAGUGAAAGCAAUGAUGCUGGUGAACCAGCAUUAGGGACUCUUGGAGAAAAGGAUGGUCCGGAAUGGAGGUGUAUCUUUAUCAGAGGAGACGGUUGUUUCUAAAAUUGAAGCUUUUAAAGCUGAGAAGCAAGAAUCUAGUGGACCUAUGUUUGGUACUCUGCAGGGAACAAUUAAUCAACCUAAUAUCUCUAGCAUCGGAGAUGAUGGAGCUUUGGAAUGUGGAACGACUGAUGCAGAUGUUGGCCUUAAUUCGGAAUCCAAACUAGUUGUUCAUGAAGAAACUGUGGUGAUGAGCACAGAUGUCUCACAUGUGGUGAAGCCACUGAAUUUUGAUGAAUUUAAUUCAACAGCAGAAUUGGAGGAAUAAUUUGCAAUGCCACAGUUUUCGAAGUAUGAGCCAUAUGUGUGUGUGUCAAUGUGGGUACCAUUCAUUUUAUGUUACUGUCAUUAGAUUUGAAGAACUUCAGCAUUGUUUGAAAAAGAAGUAGCAUUUGUCUUAGAUGAGCUGCUGGUGAUGCUUACUGUAUCAUGCAAGUGGCACCCUUCAAUCUAUUGGACCAUUUCCAAGUUAAAGAUGUGGUGGUUGUUACUAGGGAUUCUUGCAGCGGUUACUACUAGCUCAUGCUGUGGAAUUAUAGUGUUCUAUAAAUUGGUCAAUGGAAAUAAUGGUGUAUUAGUACUUUAGGUUAUGUUUGAUUGUUGGACUAUGUUGACUGGCAUUAUGAGUACAGUGGGAUUGAAUCAUGGGACUGCUAUGAUGGUUAUUAGGUUGGAAAUGUCAAAUUAAUUACGGUUGUUUGUGUAUUGUAUUGGUGUGGUUGCAUUAGUUGUCAGGAUUAAAUUUAUGAAAUUACGUAAAAACUCUCAUUACAUACAAAAAAGCAGCUUUGUUAUUUUUGUAAAGUGAGAAUAUAAUAAUCUUGAGCCAUCUAAUUAUGUGGGAUUAGAUUGUGAAUCCCACUUCUCUAUGGGAAUGUUAGUCCCACUCAUGGAGCUCUUAGUCCCAUAUCAUUUUGUCACAACCAAACAUGAUUUUGACUGGGCUUAUGGAUUAAUUAACAAUCCAACCUCCUUUCCCAAACCUGCAAUCAAACAUGGCCUUCCAGUAGAGGGGAUAAUGGUUUAAGAACUCGCUAAUAAAAUUGUGGGAGGUAAUUCUGCACGGCCACACUGCUUGGUUGAGUUAGUUAAACUGCGUCCAAGCAAGACACAUGGCUUGAAGUCUGAUUAAUGUGUCCAGUCAACGUCAGAUCAUGUACAUAGCCCCCAAGUGAAGGAUGGGAUUAUAAUCAUCGCUUUUGGGAAAAUCGCUAGAUAGGGGACACAAUCUGCUUAUUGCAGGGCAACAUGUGCAGGUGGUUGUUAGAAACUUUCAACGGCAUACUAUGGUAGCAUAAGGCAUUCAACCUAAGAGAAAAGGGGAGGGUGAAUUCCGACAAACCGGGCACGUACCGUUCAAGCGAAGCCACUCAUCUAUGCAAUCGGCAUGAAAGCAGUGCUUACACGCCGGUAUGCAUCGGACCAUCUCUUUAGCACGAUACUCCGACAAGCAGAUCGAACAAGUGUCGUCGUUGGGCCCUGGGAGUCGCCGGCUUUCGCCAAGGACUACUUUGGUGUAGGAUUCAAUGGUUGAUUCAUCUAGGCCUGCUAUGAUGGUGGUGGGUUGUGGUGUUAUGGCAGCGGGGUCGGAAUUUUGUUGCACAGUGGUGGUGCCGUUACGACGGCGUUGGGUUCCGCCGCUGACGAAGUAUAUGAAGAAUGCAGUGGCAAAUGCACAUGUGAUGGUCGGAACAACGAUGGAGAAGCAAAUGAUUUGGAACACUCGGAGUCUGUUGGCUUUGCCUGGUAAUGGAAUAGAUAAUCCCGUGCCUUAUGAAGUUGCAAGCAAGCCAGAGGAAUGAAUGAAGAUAAUCAAAUGAAGGUUAAGAGAGGUAAGAUCAAACCCGGGAUAGCCACAAGUUUGUGGUUGUUGUUGGUUUGUUUGGAAAGGGAAUCGGAUAGUGAAGCUGCUGUUAAAGCAAAUGGAAGUCGCACAACUGUUUGUUGCAUGAAUGAGAGGAGAGAGGAAGAGGAAGAGGAAGAGGAAGAGGAAGAGAAAGAAGAAUUUUAAUGUAUCCAUUUGUUUUUCAAAACAAGUGAAUCUAGGGAUGGUUAGGAAUAGUUUUGUUUGUAGGCUAUAGAACAAUUGUAUUUUUUUGAAAGUCAGAAGCUCUCAUAGUGAUUCUGUGGGCUUUUUUUAUUUAUUUAUUUUAUAAUGUGGAAAUCCCUAAAAAAAUAUUGAUGGAAGACCAUUAAUUAAUAUAGAAAAGAUAUAUGUAAAUACAGAGAAAUAUCUAAAAAGUUAUUGCGUGGUCUAGAUUUAACUCAUAGGGCUCGUUUGUUUUUAGAGGUAGAAUGGAGGAGAUUCAUAGUAAGUGAAUUGUUAGUGAGGGGAUUGAUAAUGAGGGGAUUAAGUAAAAUUUUGUUUGUUUUAAUGAUA
This is a non-coding RNA of Camellia sinensis, 3213 nucleotides long. Lineage: Eukaryota; Viridiplantae; Streptophyta; Magnoliopsida; Ericales; Theaceae. The record is from RefSeq and is a predicted model, not a curated record.